GGGCAGUUAGCUCAGUUGGUUAGAGUACCACCUUGACACGGUGGGGGUCAGUGGUUCGAAUCCACUACUGCCCA
Non-coding RNA from Potamilus streckersoni, 74 nucleotides. The record is from the annotation of a GenBank genome assembly. NCBI's taxonomy places the organism in Eukaryota, Metazoa, Mollusca, Bivalvia, Unionida, Unionidae.